Molecule: ribosomal RNA, 620 nt
Filed under: uncultured bacterium
Lineage: Bacteria
Description: bacterial SSU rRNA
Rfam family: Bacterial small subunit ribosomal RNA
Source: RNAcentral
GCCUUAUGAGACCGGCAAACGGCUCCGGAACACGUACACAACCUUCCUUUAAGCGGGGAAUAGCCCAGAGAAAUUUGGAUUAAUACCCCAUAGUAUAUUGAAAUCGCAUGGUUUUAAUAUUAAAGAUUUUAUCACUUUAAGAUGGGUGUGCGGCUGAUUAGGUAGUUGGCGGGGUAACGGCCCACCAAGCCCACGAUCAGUAACUGGUGUGAGAGCACGACCAGUCACACGGGCACUGAGACACGGGCCCGACUCCUACGGGAGGCAGCAGUAAGGAAUAUUGGUCAAUGGACGAAAGUCUGAACCAGCCAUGCCGCGUGAAGGAUGAAGGUCCUCUGGAUUGUAAACUUCUUUUAUAGGGGACGAAAAAAGGCUUUUCUAAGUCGUCUGACGGUACCCUAGGAAUAAGCACCGGCUAACUCCGUGCCAGCAGCCGCGGUAAUACGGAGGGUGCAAGCGUUAUCCGGAUUCACUGGGUUUAAAGGGUGCGUAGGUGGGUUGGUAAGUCAGUGGUGAAAUCUCCGAGCUUAACUUGGAAACUGCCAUUGAUACUAUCAGUCUUGAAUAUUGUGGAGGUUAGCGGAAUAUGUCAUGUAGCGGUGAAAUGCUUAGAUAUGACA